GAAGGGUAGGCUACUCUAAUAGUCUAAUGUUUAAAUAAUUAAUGAAACUGUAGUAACCCAAGACCAAUACCAGAGACAUGGCAACAUGGCCUGCUGGUGGUCUAGGGAUGGCAGUUGGAAAUCGCUAAUAAACGCAGCAAGGUCAGACUUAGUUCCCCUCCCUUCAUCUUAGUUAUUUAUUACUGAUUCAUAGUAACCCCACUAGUCAAGAUCUCUACAAUUAACCCGGUGAUGUUCAAAAUGGCUAGUACAUAUUUCUCGUAUAUUCGUCACAGGAUUGAAGUUGAUGUAAGAAAACGACAAAAGAUGAAAUGAAAAUGUUGCGUAGGGCCUUGCUUGUACACGCAUUUUGAUGUCGUGAUGAAACUAUACCGAUAUGAAUCUGCCGGAAGGAAUCGAAUUGGACGAAGACAUUCAAACGCAUAUUGAAAUGAUCAAUUCGUUCAAGCCUCAAAAAAGAGGGCACGAUUCGUGUGGAAAUACCACAUACAAAGCAGGACGAGAAAUUAGUUCUCGCUUUCGUACUCAAGAUGAAACCGGACUUGGGUCUGCUUGUUG
Molecule: long non-coding RNA, 558 nt
Organism: Daphnia magna
Lineage: Eukaryota; Metazoa; Arthropoda; Branchiopoda; Diplostraca; Daphniidae
Exons: 4
Source: RefSeq, a predicted model, not a curated record